RNAcentral lists this ribosomal RNA (470 nucleotides) under uncultured Burkholderiales bacterium. RNAcentral's name for it is "bacterial SSU rRNA". It matches the Rfam family "Bacterial small subunit ribosomal RNA", at positions 335 to 798 of the family's 1533-position model. The record is from RNAcentral. Lineage: Bacteria; Pseudomonadati; Pseudomonadota; Betaproteobacteria; Burkholderiales.
UGCCUACGGGGGGCUGCAGUGGGGAAUUUUGGACAAUGGGGGCAACCCUGAUCCAGCAAUGCCGCGUGUGUGAAGAAGGCCUUCGGGUUGUAAAGCACUUUUGGCGGGAAAGAAACGGCGCUUGCUAAUACCAGGCGCUAAUGACGGUACCCGCAGAAUAAGCACCGGCUAACUACGUGCCAGCAGCCGCGGUAAUACGUAGGGUGCGAGCGUUAAUCGGAAUUACUGGGCGUAAAGCGUGCGCAGGCGGUUCUGUAAGACGGAUGUGAAAUCCCCGGGCGUAACCUGGGAACUGCAUUCGUGACUGCAGGGCUAGAGUGUGUCAGAGGGAGGUGGAAUUCCGCGUGUAGCAGUGAAAUGCGUAGAGAUGCGGAGGAACACCGAUGGCGAAGGCAGCCUCCUGGGAUAACACUGACGCUCAUGCACGAAAGCGUGGGGAGCAAACAGGAUUAGAUACCCGGGUAGUCCUG